GCCUGAGUGGCUCAGUCAGUUAAGCAUCUGACUUUGGCUCAGGUCAUGAUCUCAUGGUUCAUGGGUUCAAGCCCCACAUCGGGCU
RNAcentral lists this transfer RNA (85 nucleotides) under Felis catus (domestic cat). It matches the Rfam family "tRNA". Rfam says of the family: Transfer RNA (tRNA) molecules are approximately 80 nucleotides in length. Their secondary structure includes four short double-helical elements and three loops (D, anti-codon, and T loops). Further hydrogen bonds mediate the characteristic L-shaped molecular structure. tRNAs have two regions of fundamental functional importance: the anti-codon, which is responsible for specific mRNA codon recognition, and the 3' end, to which the tRNAs corresponding amino acid is attached (by aminoacyl-tRNA synthetases). tRNAs cope with the degeneracy of the genetic code in two manners: having more than one tRNA (with a specific anti-codon) for a particular amino acid; and 'wobble' base-pairing, i.e. permitting non-standard base-pairing at the 3rd anti-codon position. Lineage: Eukaryota; Metazoa; Chordata; Mammalia; Carnivora; Felidae. The record is from Rfam by way of RNAcentral.